UACGAAGGGGGCUAGCGUUGCUCGGAAUCACGUGGCGUAAAGCGCACGUAGGCGGAUCUUUAAGUCAGGGGUGAAAUCCUGGAGCUCAACUCCAGAACUGCCUUUGAUACUGAGGAUCUUGAGUUCGGGAGAGGUGAGUGGAACUGCGAGUGUAGAGGUGAAAUUCGUAGAUAUUCGCAAGAACACCAGUGGCGAAGGCGGCUCAACUGGCCCGAUACUGACGCUGACGGC
This 231-nucleotide ribosomal RNA is filed under the name uncultured bacterium. Its description in RNAcentral is "partial 16S ribosomal RNA". It matches the Rfam family "Bacterial small subunit ribosomal RNA", at positions 524 to 754 of the family's 1533-position model. The record is from RNAcentral.